Molecule: long non-coding RNA, 1388 nt
Organism: Gastrolobium bilobum
Lineage: Eukaryota; Viridiplantae; Streptophyta; Magnoliopsida; Fabales; Fabaceae
Exons: 4
Source: RefSeq, a predicted model, not a curated record
UCUUGUAUGUGAGCCAUCUAGGAACCCUUUGGCUCACUCUCAAAGUUCGGCUAUACCCUUGCUGACCAAAGGAUUCGGUCAUCCUUGUAUAGGAAAGAAACAGAAAACUCUCUUUAGUUUCCUCCCUGUAUGUUUUGGAGAGUCACAAAACUGGUGCUUCCCUCUAUAAUCUCUUCAAGCACAGACGUAAAAUAAAGCCUAGCCAUCAUCACCUCCAUGCGUAUAACUAAGAAGAAGAUGAAGCUGAUUGUGUUCCCUUAAUUCAGAACCAUAUACACAGCCGCCCUUCUCCUGCAAAGUCGUGGAUCGUCAAAUGGAAGAGGCAAAGCUUGAAUGACCUUCCUCUUACCUACUCCUCCAAGUCCGUGAGCUUCACAAGGAAAGCCUAUCAUCCAACUUCUUAUUCCCAUUUCCAUCCACUGGCUCGGCCGAAGAGCAACUUGAGGAAAUGAGCUGUGCAUGUAGUCCUUGAAGAGUAGAUGAACCUAUUGCAUGUGACCAGAACCGUGGCUUUAGGAGAGGAGAAGGGUAAGGACCGUAGCACCAACCUUAGAGGCUGGGAACCAUGAGUGUGUAAUCAAGUGGGUGAAUUCAAAUCCUAGUACUCGGUGUUGCUCUCUGCAUUGUACGGUUUCUGCAUGCAGGAUGAGGUGCUUUCAUUUUGGUUCUGUUUGGUCAUCUGUUCAGUUUGGCUCAGCCUGCAGAGCUGUACUUUCCUUCCCUGUGCCCACUUGAUCGAAUUGCAAUCAGAGGAGGUAUUGUACCUCCAUUAAUUUGGUUCACUGUUACUCCUUUCGUUGGUGGAGUCCCCUCUGCAUGCCGAUGGAAAUUCAAGUCUCUCUCCUUAUUUUGUUGUCUCCCUUGCGUUUAACCGAGGACCCCAUCCAAGGAGGCGUCGGUCUUGGUACUAGGUUAGUUUCCCCCUCCACGCAUGCAGCUGGGUCCGAUUCUUGGACUGUUGGAGGGAGAAGGACUGUUCUGUACGAAUUGGGGCUGUGUGUGUAUGGCUGCAAGAAGGUGCGCAUAAUUCCUAAAGUGUGGGAUGAUUUUGAUGCGGUUGAUUAGUGCUUGGACCCAAGGAGGACGUAAAAGCUUUUGAGGACUUGGGUAAUUGUUGUUGGCUUCUACUGUUUUGGGCAUGCUGCUAUUGAUGUGAUAUUUUAUGGAUGACUGUAUGAAAUUGAGAAGCUUUUAUUACUGUGAACUAUGAUUUUAUUAUUGCAUUACGAUUUUAUGACCAGCAAGUAUUUUGGAAACAGAUGUUGAAACGUUUGCGAAAAGUAUUUUGACAUGUUAUCUAAAUGCUGAGUUUUGAAAAGUCUUUGCGAGCACUUUGUAAGUUGUCGUACUGGGGCUACGGACCUCCGAUUUUCUUAUAAUUUAUAUUC